GACGAACGCUGGCGGCGUGCUUAACACAUGCAAGUCGAACGGAAAGGCCCUGCGUUUGUGGGGUGCUCGAGUGGCGAACGGGUGAGUAACACGUGAGUAACCUGCCCUUGACUUUGGGAUAACUUCAGGAAACAGGGGCUAAUACCGGAUAGGAGCUCCUGCUGCAUGGUGGGGGUUGGAAAGUUUCGGCGGUUUGGGAUGGACUAGCGGCUUAUCAGCUUGUUGGUGGGGUAGUGGCUUACCAAGGCUUUGACGGGUAGCCGGCCUGGGAGGGUGACCGGCCACAUUGGGACUGAGAUACGGACCAGACUCCUACGGGAGGCAGCAGUGGGGAAUAUUGCACAAUGGGCGGAAGCGUGAUGCAGCAACGCCGCGUGCGGGAUGACGGCCUUCGGGUUGUAAACCGCUUUCGCCUGUGACGAAGCGUGAGUGACGGUAAUGGGUAAAGAAGCACCGGCUAACUACGUG
This 468-nucleotide ribosomal RNA is filed under the name uncultured bacterium. RNAcentral describes it as "partial 16S ribosomal RNA". It matches the Rfam family "Bacterial small subunit ribosomal RNA", at positions 28 to 507 of the family's 1533-position model. The record is from RNAcentral.